GCGCCGGCUUUGCGCGGCGAUCCUCCGCGAACCAUGUCAGGCGGGGAACCGAGCAGCAUUAAGCGGCCCGGAUCGCGCGAUGCAACCCGCCCGCGCGUC
This 99-nucleotide signal recognition particle RNA is filed under the name Oscillospiraceae bacterium. RNAcentral describes it as "signal recognition particle sRNA small type". It matches the Rfam family "Bacterial small signal recognition particle RNA". From Rfam's summary of the family: The signal recognition particle (SRP) is a universally conserved ribonucleoprotein involved in the co-translational targeting of proteins to membranes. Archaeal SRP consists of a 7S RNA and homologues of the eukaryotic SRP19 and SRP54 proteins. The record is from RNAcentral. Lineage: Bacteria; Bacillati; Bacillota; Clostridia; Eubacteriales; Oscillospiraceae.